RNAcentral lists this ribosomal RNA (399 nucleotides) under uncultured bacterium. RNAcentral describes it as "bacterial SSU rRNA". It matches the Rfam family "Bacterial small subunit ribosomal RNA", at positions 976 to 1380 of the family's 1533-position model. The record is from RNAcentral.
AGGGCUUGACAUUUAGGUGAAGCCAGGGAAACCUGGUGGCCGAAAGGAGCCUAAACAGGUGGUGCAUGGCUGUCGUCAGCUCGUGUCGUGAGAUGUUGGGUUAAGUCCCGCAACGAGCGCAACCCUUGUCGUAUGUUGCCAGCAUUUAGUUGGGGACUCGUACGAGACUGCCGGCGUCAAGCCGGAGGAAGGUGGGGACGACGUCAAGUCAUCAUGCCCCUUACGUCCUGGGCUGCACACGUGCUACAAUGGUCGGGACAGCGAGUUGCUACCUCGCGAGAGGAUGCGAAUCUCUUAAACCCGGCCCCAGUUCGGAUUGUAGGCUGAAACCCGCCUGCAUGAAGUCGGAGUUGCUAGUAAUCGCGGAUCAGCAUGCCGCGGUGAAUGCGUUCCCGGGCC